GCAAGUGGAACGCACAGAUGAUACGUAGCUUGCUACAAUUAUCUGUGAGUCGCGAACGGGUGAGUAACGCGUAGGUAACCUAGCUUAUAGCGGGGGAUAACUAUUGGAAACGAUAGCUAAUACCGCAUAAAAGUGGUUAACCCAUGUUAACUAUUUAAAAGGAGCAACAGCUCCACUAUGAGAUGGACCUGCGUUGUAUUAGCUAGUUGGUAGGGUAAAGGCCUACCAAGGCGACGAUACAUAGCCGACCUGAGAGGGUGAACGGCCACACUGGGACUGAGACACGGCCCAGACUCCUACGGGAGGCAGCAGUAGGGAAUCUUCGGCAAUGGGGGGAACCCUGACCGAGCAACGCCGCGUGAGUGAAGAAGGUUUUCGGAUCGUAAAGCUCUGUUGUUAGAGAAGAACAGUGAUGGGAGUGGAAAGUCCAUCAUGUGACGGUAACUAACCAGAAAGGGACGGCUAACUACGUGCCAGCAGCCGCGGUAAA
RNAcentral lists this ribosomal RNA (490 nucleotides) under Streptococcus equi subsp. zooepidemicus. RNAcentral describes it as "bacterial SSU rRNA". It matches the Rfam family "Bacterial small subunit ribosomal RNA", at positions 57 to 524 of the family's 1533-position model. Lineage: Bacteria; Bacillati; Bacillota; Bacilli; Lactobacillales; Streptococcaceae. The record is from RNAcentral.